AGAGAGAGAGAGAGAGAGUUAUUUCCUAUUAUUAAGUUCGUAUAUAUCACAUACAAUAGUUAUGGUAUUUAUUCUCUAAUCCUUGACUACAAUGACUAUUAUUCGGUUACCUUUAACUAAUCACUUUAAUUGUUCCCUCCAUUUUCACAUCUGAUGAUCCACAUGACUCCAACUCAGCAAUCCUUUGCUCAAUCCAGCUCAUUAAUCCAUAUUCUUAACAUUACCCUCCUUUGCAAGUGCAUUCUUGUCCUCAAGAAUGAAAUGUAGAGAUUGCUGCAAAAUGAAAUCCCAUUCUUGAAAAGACAAGUAAUCCAAUUGAAGCAAAAGCUGCUCUACUUCUUUGCCUUUUCUCAUCAAAGUUCUUGUAUUAAGAAAUGCCAAAGGUGUAUGACACAGCGUGAAGCUCACAAAUAAAGAACAAACUUGCACACAACAGUGAAAAUUAAGAGAAUUUCUCUGUAGGAUUUUUAUUAAUUGAACUCUAAUUGAAAUACAUGUUAAUAAGGGAUAUUUAUAAAGUUUUUAGACUCAUAAACCUAAUAGGAUACGAAACUAUUAAUUAGGAAGUUUAAUAAUCCUAAAUACAUUAGGAAAAUAUAAAUAAAUAGGAAUUAAA
RNAcentral lists this unclassified non-coding RNA (616 nucleotides) under Hevea brasiliensis (rubber tree). Lineage: Eukaryota; Viridiplantae; Streptophyta; Magnoliopsida; Malpighiales; Euphorbiaceae. The record is from RNAcentral.